AUGGGUAUGUGUUCCAACAAGAAGCGCAGCAGCCCUGGCGUUGCUGUGUGGUGUGUAGUCCUGGGCAUAGCCCUGCUCGUCGUCGACGCGGCGGGCAGUGAAGGUCGUGCGAGAGCCGGGGACUUGGCUGAAGAGCAUGGGGAUGCAGCCUACUGCUCCGCCUUGUGCAAAGGCCGGUCGCAGUCGGACUUCGGACCGUGCUACAAUGAGUGCUUGUACGGGAGGGUGACAGGACAAGAAGAAGCAAGAGGAGGUGGUGGAGUUGGAGGGCCAGCUGGUCUCCUGGAGAUGCCGACGAAACGCGUUGGACGGGAGGAAGAAGAGAAGACAAAGCAAGGGGACGCCACCGUCCGUUUGAGCGACCCAGUCUGGUGCUACGACGCUUGCCGCGAACAUCCAGAAUUGAACUACAACCAAUGCGUCAAUGAUUGCUACGCUGAGAAUAUGCCGGACGCCGCAUGGCUGGCGGCCCUUGGAGGAACCGGAGGAGAAGAAGCAAGAGGAGGAGUGGUUGAUGUCCCAAUGGUGGUGGUGCAGCAUGAGGCUGCUGCAGGUGCACUGUCACGGGGCAACUGCGAUGAGUAUUGCCGCAAACACUAUGAUGAAGGCUCCCCCGGGUAUAGGCACUGCCAGUAUAUGUGCCCACAUCUGAGGGUCCACGGGGUAGCAGAAGGAGAAGAAGCAAGAGGAGGAGCUGUUGAUGGGCCGACGGUGGUGGGGAGACCCCACUGCGACUGGUUCCGCGACUGUAGUGUAACGCCAUGCGUCUGGCGAUGUGGGAAGAGGGUGCAAGAGAAGGACAAUGAAGGAACAAGAACAGGAGCGCUCAAUGUCCUGGCGGCUGCGCGGCAUGAGGUUGCUGUAGGAGCAUGUUCGUCGACUGUGUACGUGCAAUCAUGCUAUGCCUGUUGCCAAAGGGAGGUUACUAGAGAUCCGGAUUUCGACUGGUAUGCUUGCAUUCGCAGUUGCGAUGACAAAGAUGCUCUCCCAAUCAAGAAGGAGCGAGAGAACAAGAAGUACGGCGUAGUCCCGCCGGCGAAGUAG
Molecule: ribosomal RNA, 1044 nt
Filed under: Triticum aestivum (bread wheat)
Lineage: Eukaryota; Viridiplantae; Streptophyta; Magnoliopsida; Poales; Poaceae
Description: partial small subunit ribosomal RNA
Source: RNAcentral